UGACCUCGGAUCAGGUAGGGAUACCCGCUGAACUUAAGCAUAUCAAUAAGCGGAGGAAAAGAAACCAACAGGGAUUGCCUCAGUAACGGCGAGUGAAGCGGCAAGAGCUCAAAUUUGAAAGCUGGCUCCUUCGGGGUCCGCAUUGUAAUUGCAGAGGA
This 158-nucleotide non-coding RNA is filed under the name Aspergillus clavatus NRRL 1. Its description in RNAcentral is "Eukaryotic large subunit ribosomal RNA". It matches the Rfam family "Eukaryotic large subunit ribosomal RNA", at positions 1 to 158 of the family's 3401-position model. Lineage: Eukaryota; Fungi; Ascomycota; Eurotiomycetes; Eurotiales; Aspergillaceae. The record is from Rfam by way of RNAcentral.